RNAcentral lists this ribosomal RNA (457 nucleotides) under uncultured bacterium. RNAcentral's name for it is "bacterial SSU rRNA". It matches the Rfam family "Bacterial small subunit ribosomal RNA", at positions 340 to 789 of the family's 1533-position model. The record is from RNAcentral.
UACGGAAGGCAGCAGUGGGGAAUAUUGCACAAUGGGCGCAAGCCUGAUGCAGCCAUGCCGCGUGUAUGAAAAAGGCCUUCGGGUUGUAAAGUACUUUCAGUCGUGAGGAAGGUGUUAAGGUUAAUAACCUUAGCAAUUGACGUUAGCGACAGAAGAAGCACCGGCUAACUCCGUGCCAGCAGCCGCGGUAAUACGGAGGGUGCGAGCGUUAAUCGGAAUUACUGGGCGUAAAGGGCACGCAGGCGGUUAAUUAAGUUGGAUGUGAAAUCCCCGGGCUUAACCUGGGAAUGGCAUUCAAGACUGGUUAGCUAGAGUCUUGUAGAGGGGGUUAGAAUUCCAUGUGUAGCGGUGAAAUGCGUAGAGAUGUGGAGGAAUACCGGUGGCGAAGGCGGCCCCUGGACAAAGACUGACGCUCAUGUGCGAAAGCGUGGGGAGCAAACAGGGAUUAGAUACCCGU